GAUGAACGCUGGCGGCGUGCCUAAUACAUGCAAGUCGAGCGGACAGAUGAGGAGUUUGCUCCGCUGACGUUAGCGGCGGAUGGGUGAGUAGCACGUGGAUAACCUAUCUAUAAGACUGGGAUAACUUCGGGAAACCGGAGCCAAUACCUGAUAAUAUAUUGAACCGCAUGGUUCAGUAGUGAAAGGCGGAUUUGCUUCUAGUUAUAGAUGAUUAGGCGCCGCAUUAGCGGGUUGGUAGGGUAACGGUAUACUAAGGCAACGAUGGGUAGCCGACGCGAGAGGGUGAGCGUGCACACUGGAACUGAGACACGGUCCAGACUCCUACGGGAGGGAGCGGUAGGGAAGGGUCCGCAAUGGGCGAGAGCCUGACGGAGCAGCGCCGCGUGAGUGAGGAAGGUGUCCGGAUCGUAAAACUCUGUUCUUAGGGAAGAAGAGAUGUCUAAGUAGCUGGGCGGGUCGUGACGGUAGCUGAAGAGAAAGCCACGGCUAACUACGUG
This 497-nucleotide ribosomal RNA is filed under the name uncultured bacterium. Its description in RNAcentral is "partial 16S ribosomal RNA". It matches the Rfam family "Bacterial small subunit ribosomal RNA", at positions 28 to 507 of the family's 1533-position model. The record is from RNAcentral.